GACGAACGCUGGCGGCGUGCCUAAUACAUGCAAGUAGAACGCUGAAGAGAGGAGCUUGCUCUUCUUGGAUGAGUUGCGAACGGGUGAGUAACGCGUAGGUAACCUGCCUGGUAGCGGGGGAUAACUAUUGGAAACGAUAGCUAAUACCGCAUGAUUUUAAUUGUCGCAUGAUAAUUAAUUGAAAGAUGCAAUUGCAUCACUACCAGAUGGACCUGCGUUGUAUUAGCUAGUUGGUGAGGUAACGGCUCACCAAGGCGACGAUACAUAGCCGACCUGAGAGGGUGAUCGGCCACACUGGGACUGAGACACGGCCCAGACUCCUACGGGAGGCAGCAGUAGGGAAUCUUCGGCAAUGGGGGGAACCCUGACCGAGCAACGCCGCGUGAGUGAAGAAGGUUUUCGGAUCGUAAAGCUCUGUUGUAAGAGAAGAACGGGUGUGAGAGUGGAAAGUUCACACUGAGACGGUAUCUACCAGAAA
This 478-nucleotide ribosomal RNA is filed under the name Streptococcus sanguinis. Its description in RNAcentral is "bacterial SSU rRNA". It matches the Rfam family "Bacterial small subunit ribosomal RNA", at positions 28 to 489 of the family's 1533-position model. Lineage: Bacteria; Bacillati; Bacillota; Bacilli; Lactobacillales; Streptococcaceae. The record is from RNAcentral.